UACGUAGGGUGCAAGCGUUGUCCGGAAUUAUUGGGCGUAAAGAGCUCGUAGGCGGUUCUGUCGCGUCGGAUGUGAAAAUCAGGGCUCAACCCUGGACCUGCAUUCGAUACGGGCAGACUAGAGUUUCGGCAGGGGAGACUGGAAUUCCUGGUGUAGCGGUGAAAAUGCGCAGAUAUCAGGAGGAACACCCGGUGGCGAAGGC
This 202-nucleotide ribosomal RNA is filed under the name uncultured bacterium. RNAcentral describes it as "partial 16S ribosomal RNA". It matches the Rfam family "Bacterial small subunit ribosomal RNA", at positions 524 to 722 of the family's 1533-position model. The record is from RNAcentral.